CAGCAGCCACGGUAAUACGAAGAGGGCUAGCGUUGCUCGGAAUUACUGGGCGUAAAGGGAGCGUAGGCGGACAUUUAAGUCAGGGGUGAAAUCCCGGGGCUCAACCUCGGAAUUGCCUUUGAUACUGGGUGUCUUGAGUAUGAGAGAGGUAUGUGGAACUCCGAGUGUAGAGGUGAAAUUCGUAGAUAUUCGGAAGAACACCAGUGGCGAAGGCGACAUACUGGCUCAUUACUGACGCUGAGGCUCGAAAGCGUGGGGAGCAAACAGGAUUAGAUACCCCAGUAGUACCUGUCUCUUAUAC
This 301-nucleotide ribosomal RNA is filed under the name uncultured bacterium. RNAcentral's name for it is "partial 16S ribosomal RNA". It matches the Rfam family "Bacterial small subunit ribosomal RNA", at positions 509 to 807 of the family's 1533-position model. The record is from RNAcentral.